GGACGAAGUUUAGGGACAGCAGAUGUGCACUUUGAACAGAAAGCAGAUGCCCUGAAGGCUAUGAAACAGUACAAUGGUGUCCCUUGGGAUGGCCACCCUAUGAACAUUCAGCUUGUCACAUCACAGAUUGAUGCACAGUGAAGACCUGCACAGAGCAUAAACAGAGGAGGCAGGACAAGAAACCGUGGCUCUGGAAGUUUUGAUGGUGGUGGCACCAGGAGAGGGACACGUGGAGGCAGCCGGGGAAGAAGUAGAGGCACCGGCAGGAACUCAAAGCAGCAGCUUUCUGCAGAGGAGUUGGACGCACAGCUGGAUGCUUACAAUGCAAGGAUGGACACCAGCUAA
Molecule: long non-coding RNA, 345 nt
Filed under: Mus musculus (house mouse)
Lineage: Eukaryota; Metazoa; Chordata; Mammalia; Rodentia; Muridae
Description: long non-coding RNA chr4:76927310-76927655
Source: RNAcentral